RNAcentral lists this ribosomal RNA (264 nucleotides) under uncultured bacterium. Its description in RNAcentral is "partial 16S ribosomal RNA". It matches the Rfam family "Bacterial small subunit ribosomal RNA", at positions 793 to 1055 of the family's 1533-position model. The record is from RNAcentral.
GUCCUAGCUGUAAACGGUGCACGCUUGGUGUGGGAGGCAACCCCUUCCGUGCCGAAGCUAACGCGAUAAGCGUGCCGCCUGGGUAGUACGGUCGCAAGACUAAAACUCAAAGAAAUUGACGGGGACCCGCACAAGCGGUGGAGUAUGUGGCUUAAUUCGAUGCAACGCGAAGAACCUUACCAGGGCUUGACAUGUAUUGUAACCCCGAUGAAAGUCGGGCAGCGUAGAAAUACGCGCUUUACACAGGUGCUGCAUGGCUGUCGU